UAUGGUUUUCAUCUUAGGACAUAGUACCUUGCACCAGGUGAAGUCUCCUGGCUCAGGCUGAGUAAGAGAUCAUACGAGAUAAGCUUUUGAGCUGACCAUUAAUCCAAAGAUUCGAAUCACAGAUGACCACAAAAUUGAGGCUUAUUUUUAAUUCACUAGCAAAUAUUUCCUCACAGAAAAACUAGAAAGUAUGACUAUGUAGAACAGCAUCAAAUACUAUAAACACAAUUAAAUUUCUUGUUCUGCUUAUUAAUUUAUUUUCCUGUAAGAAAACAACAACAACAACAGAGCUGUUGGAACUGAUGAAGAAAGACAGAAAAAAAAUAAGAUACUUAGCUGGCAAUUUCAGGUGUUUCUCUUCUCUUUGUCCAAACUCUCCACAAAGCCUGAGGAAUGAAUGGGACUUUCCCUGGAAUUGCAUCUGCUGUGACGUAGUACCUGCUGCACUGGUAGAAUGACUCAGUGGCUGCUCCGAAAAGACCUAGCUGACCGAGAGACAGAAAAAGCAGCAGACUGUUUUGGAGCAAAUAAGAAAAGCAGAAACUGAGAUGCAAAACCAGAACAGAUGCUGGAGGUGUGUGAUAAGAAAGUAAAUGAGCAGCAAGGAGUUGCAGAGCUGAAAAAUAAAAGCAAGACCAUCCCUCUGCUCUGAAUAUUUUCUGUGACACUGAAUAUACCACUGGGCCAAAAUUUUUUCCCACUACAGAUGAUCAAUGCACAGAGUCUUUUAAAUAUCUGCUUGCAAACUGAUUUUCUCCACUCCCAGGCUCAGAUCUGCAGAAGUGAUAAGCACUUUAUAACAACUGAGGGCUGUGAGAGCUAUGCUCUGAGCAGAGUAGCUGCUUUCAGGUGAGUAGGUGCCUCACUUCCACAGACUUGAUUUGUCUGGGAAUUGAGAAUCUAAAUAUCCUUCUUUGUGUGUGUGUGCUUUUUGUUCAAAAAAAUAUGAAAUGGCCCUCAGUUCCAUCUGUCGAGUGGCCCAGAGUUUAUGUUCUGAACUGGUCUCCAGGUGUGCAAUAUAUUCUUCUCAAUCUUUUUCACAAGUCUUGUUACUAAGUAAUUUGCUCUUCGAGAGUGUCAAAAUACACAGUGGAGAUUUUGAUCAAGAGUUUCUGAAUCAGCAGUGAGAUCCUUUGAAUACAUUAUACAGGCUACCACCCUGAAAGGCCUUACUUUUGGAAUGUGUUGUUUUGCUAUUUCACAGCAUGGAAGGCACUUUGCAUGAAAUUCACCAGCUGUUUUAAUUUGAGAAAUGUAUGCUAUAAUCAUUAUCAGUUUAGUCAUUUCUAUAAAAAUUUUCUAUUUCACGUCCUUUACAGUGUGAUGUGACUGGAUAUGCAGGAAGAAAAUUUUCCUCCUCUAUUGUCAGCGUUUUUGUAACACUUCAGUAAAGUAAAAAAAAAAAAGAGGGGAACCUUAAUCUGACUUGGCACCUCUGAAUGACGACCUCUAUGCUAUAUAUAACUUUAAAAAACCCAACAAAAAAACCACCCAAAAAAACCCCACCUAAAGCGGAAACUUUGCCUGUGACUUCAUCAGAUGCAUAAAUAGGCCAUAGAAGAAGGGUUAAUUUGAAGAACUAGUUAUGCAUAUAAUUACCACUUCAUCAGUUGAGACUGUAAUCCUGGCAGGAUAGAAGAGGAAAAGAAUAAAUCACUGGACAUCGAUGUUUCACUUGGCAGUCUUUGCCUACAGAAGCAAUGCUCUGGCUCUAGCUUCCACCAUAGGACAUUUGCCCAGAAUCUAAGCCUUACAAGUGAGCCUUCUUUGUCCUACACCAUCCUCAUUUUCUGGACCCAAAAAGUCAGGUGUUAACAGCUGUUUGGAGAAGCAGAACUCCAGGAAGGUAGCUUAUAAACAAAGAAUUGACUUUAGCAAAAUAUUUUAGCUAAACCCAAAGAUUUUUUAGUUGAAUUUUGGGUUUCCUUGUACCUCUGUAUGAUAAAUAUCUGUCUAAUUAUAAUAAAAACAUAUCUAAUUA
This is a long non-coding RNA of Pseudopipra pipra, 1981 nucleotides long. RefSeq lists it as uncharacterized. The record is from RefSeq and is a predicted model, not a curated record. NCBI's taxonomy places the organism in Eukaryota, Metazoa, Chordata, Aves, Passeriformes, Pipridae. The transcript is spliced from 2 exons.